This 783-nucleotide ribosomal RNA is filed under the name uncultured Neocallimastigales. RNAcentral's name for it is "partial large subunit ribosomal RNA". It matches the Rfam family "Eukaryotic large subunit ribosomal RNA", at positions 24 to 644 of the family's 3401-position model. Lineage: Eukaryota; Fungi; Neocallimastigomycota; Neocallimastigomycetes; Neocallimastigales. The record is from RNAcentral.
ACGACUACAUAUCAGGCAUAUCAAUAAGCGGAGGAAAAGAAACUAACUAGGAUUCCCUUAGUAACGGCGAGUGAAGCGGGAAGAGCUCAAAUUUGAAAUCUUCAAGGUUCUACCUUGACGAAUUGUAGUUUAAAGAAGUGUUUUCUGUUGGUAGUUUUCGGUAAAAGUUCUUUGGAAUAGGACAUCAUAGAGGGUGAGAAUCCCGUAUUUGACCAUUAUUUUCCAACUUUGUGAUACACUUUCAAAGAGUCGGAUUGUUUGGGAAUGCAGUCCAAAAUGGGUGGUAAAUUUCAUCUAGAGCUAAAUAUUGGCGAGAGACCGAUAGCGAACAAGUACCGUGAGGGAAAGAUGAAAAGAACUUUGAAAAGAGAGUUAAACAGUACGUGAAAUUGUCAAAAGGGAAGCGUUUGACACCAGUGUUGUUUUCUCGAAAAUCAAUUAAAAAUGGCUGGGAUGUUGUGUUGUAUUGACUUUAUCAGCUUUCUGCACUUUUUUUCCUAUCUUUUUUAAGUGCACUUUUCGUUUCAACAAGUCAACAUCAAUUUCUUUUGUUGUAAAAGAGGUCAUUGGAAGGUGGCUUUCUUUUCGGAGAAAGUGUUUAUAGCCUUUGACUUCUGCAAUCGGAGAGAUUGAGGUCUGCAGCGUAGAUCCUUCGGGGUUAGAUGCAUUUGUGCUAAGUUAUAGCCUUUUCAUAGACAACUUGUUGACUAUGAUCAGUCAUGUAGCUUACUCGCUUAUGGCUAUUUUACCUACGCUUAGGAUGUUGAAUCUGUGCGAGACUAC